RNAcentral lists this transfer RNA (71 nucleotides) under Ctenochauliodes punctulatus. RNAcentral describes it as "tRNA-Lys". The record is from RNAcentral. Lineage: Eukaryota; Metazoa; Arthropoda; Insecta; Megaloptera; Corydalidae.
CAUUAGAUGACUGAAAGUAAGUAUUGGUCUCUUAAACCAUUUUAUAGUAUAUUAACGAAUACUUCUAAUGA